RNAcentral lists this ribosomal RNA (326 nucleotides) under uncultured soil bacterium. RNAcentral's name for it is "bacterial SSU rRNA". It matches the Rfam family "Bacterial small subunit ribosomal RNA", at positions 26 to 377 of the family's 1533-position model. The record is from RNAcentral.
AGAACGAACGCUGGCGGCAGGCUUAACACAUGCAAGUCGAACGGUUGUAGCAAUACAGCAGUGGCAGACGGGUGAGUAACACGUGGGAACCUUCCUAGGGGUACGGAACAACUCAGGGAAACUUGAGCUAAUACCGUAUACGUCCGUAAGGAGAAAGAUUUAUCGCCCCUAGACGGGCCCGCGUAGGAUUAGGUAGUUGGUGAGGUAACGGCCCACCAAGGCGACGAUCCGUAGCUGGUCUGAGAGGAUGAUCAGCCACACUGGAACUGAGACACGGUCCAGACUCCUACGGGAGGCAGCAGUGGGGAAUAUUGGACAAGUGGGCG